Biomphalaria pfeifferi is the source of this 384-nucleotide non-coding RNA. The record is from the annotation of a GenBank genome assembly. Lineage: Eukaryota; Metazoa; Mollusca; Gastropoda; Planorbidae.
CUUUUGUGUUCUUUAAUAGGUCUUUUAUUUAAAACAAAAAAUAAAUCAAACUGCAUUGAAUGAACAUACAUCAAUGAUAUUGAACGUAGAUACAAUGAAUUAAAGAUCUACACUUCAAAACAGUCACAUGCAAUGUUUCAUGUGGUUAAUCCUAUAUAGAUCUAGGUUAUCUUAGCAUGGCCUCAUUGCAUCAAAGUUUAGAGCUCUGGCUGGUUGGUCACUGUCACAAGGUGACUUCACUGUGUGUGUGUUUUGGAGUAGACUUGCAACCAAGAGAUAGUACCACAACUGGUGGAGUCAUGUGACACUGUUAAAUACCUUAGAUAUCUUGGAUAGACAGAGAGAAAGGGGGGGGGGGGGUGAGAAGUGGCCAAUGACUUGGAG